GGGGCUAUAGCGCAGUUGGUAGCGCACUUCCAUGGCAUGGAAGGGGUCGUGGGUUCGAAUCCCACUAGCUCCA
RNAcentral lists this transfer RNA (73 nucleotides) under Aeriscardovia aeriphila. It matches the Rfam family "tRNA". Rfam says of the family: Transfer RNA (tRNA) molecules are approximately 80 nucleotides in length. Their secondary structure includes four short double-helical elements and three loops (D, anti-codon, and T loops). Further hydrogen bonds mediate the characteristic L-shaped molecular structure. tRNAs have two regions of fundamental functional importance: the anti-codon, which is responsible for specific mRNA codon recognition, and the 3' end, to which the tRNAs corresponding amino acid is attached (by aminoacyl-tRNA synthetases). tRNAs cope with the degeneracy of the genetic code in two manners: having more than one tRNA (with a specific anti-codon) for a particular amino acid; and 'wobble' base-pairing, i.e. permitting non-standard base-pairing at the 3rd anti-codon position. The record is from Rfam by way of RNAcentral. Lineage: Bacteria; Bacillati; Actinomycetota; Actinomycetes; Bifidobacteriales; Bifidobacteriaceae.